This 427-nucleotide ribosomal RNA is filed under the name uncultured bacterium. Its description in RNAcentral is "bacterial SSU rRNA". It matches the Rfam family "Bacterial small subunit ribosomal RNA", at positions 354 to 796 of the family's 1533-position model. The record is from RNAcentral.
GUGGGGAAUAUUGCACAAUGGAGGGAACUCUGAUGCAGCAACGCCGCGUGAACGAAGAAGGCUCUUGGGUCGUAAAGUUCUGUUCUGAGGGAAGAAGAAAGUGACGGUACCUCAGGAGAAAGCCCCGGCUAACUACGUGCCAGCAGCCGCGGUAAUACGUAGGGGGCGAGCGUUGUCCGGAAUUACUGGGCGUAAAGAGUACGUAGGCGGUUAUGCAAGCGCGUGGUGAAAGGCAUAGGCUCAACCAAUGUCAGCCGCGCGAACUGUAUGACUUGAGUGCGGGAGAGGAAAGCGGAAUUCCUGGUGUAGCGGUGAAAUGCGUAGAUAUCAGGAGGAACACCGGUGGCGAAGGCGGCUUUCUGGACCGUAACUGACGCUGAGGUACGAAAGCGUGGGGAGCAAACAGGAUUAGAAACCCUAGUAGUCC